Molecule: non-coding RNA, 110 nt
Organism: Paramuricea clavata
Lineage: Eukaryota; Metazoa; Cnidaria; Anthozoa; Malacalcyonacea; Plexauridae
Source: the annotation of a GenBank genome assembly
AAUUUUCAACCCAGGGCUGAGUUCAACCCCGGGGUUGAAAUUUCAACCCUGCUUCAGCUAGCAGGGUUGAAAUCCCAACCCCGGGGUUGAACUCAGCCCUGGGUUGAAAA